CUAGGCAAGAAGAACGAAAUCCAACACCAUAGCUGGAAAGAGCAUCUUAAAAUGAGUAAAAUUGCAAACUUUAGUUGCUAAACGUUGUAAAAUGAGGAAAAUAUAGCCCUGUGAAGUUCGCAAAUUUUGUACAUAUUUGUAUUACGCGCGGGAAAAUACAAAUAUAUACAAAAUUUGCGAACUUCACAGGGCUAUAUUCUCUUCAUUUAGCAACCAAUCUUUGCAGUUUUACUCAUUCUAAGAUGCCCUUUCCAGCUGUGGUAUUGGAUUUCGUUCUUCUUGCCUAG
This 287-nucleotide microRNA precursor is filed under the name Paramuricea clavata. Lineage: Eukaryota; Metazoa; Cnidaria; Anthozoa; Malacalcyonacea; Plexauridae. The record is from RNAcentral.